GGGGACAAAGUGACAGGUGGUGCAUGGUUGUCGUCAGCUCGUGUCGUGAGAUGUUGGGUUAAGUCCCGCAACGAGCGCAACCCUUAUUGUUAGUUGCCAUCAUUUAGUUGGGCACUCUAGCGAGACUGCCGGUGACAAACCGGAGGAAGGUGGGGAUGACGUCAAAUCAUCAUGCCCCUUAUGACCUGGGCUACACACGUGCUACAAUGGGAAGUACAACGAGUCGCUAGACCGCGAGGUCAUGCAAAUCUCUUAAAGCUUCUCUCAGUUCGGAUUGCAGGCUGCAACUCGCCUGCAUGAAGCCGGAAUCGCUAGUAAUCGCGGAUCAGCACGCCGCGGUGAAUACGUUCCCGGGCCUUGUACACACCGCCCGUCACACCACGAGAGUUUGUAACACCCGAAGUCGG
RNAcentral lists this ribosomal RNA (407 nucleotides) under Enterococcus faecalis. RNAcentral describes it as "bacterial SSU rRNA". It matches the Rfam family "Bacterial small subunit ribosomal RNA", at positions 1022 to 1430 of the family's 1533-position model. Lineage: Bacteria; Bacillati; Bacillota; Bacilli; Lactobacillales; Enterococcaceae. The record is from RNAcentral.